GACUGAGUUCACGUCACCGCCGAGCAGCUGAGGCUUAUUAGCCCCUUGGAAAGGGUACACCUGGGGAAUGAGGAAAUUGUUAGGUCAAAGGCCAUUUUGUGCUAGACCACGGUGAUUAUUUACCCGAAGAAGGCCCCAGUGCAGUUUCUGCAGGAAAAAAUGAAGGGCCACAAGAAGGCGACUUGAAAAGGAAACGAGUUUCAGGAUGGUUCCAGGGCAGUCUCAGCGAGUCUCGGUCUCUGCUCCAAGGGCCCCUCAUCCCACAUCCAGGUGAGGGGCAGCCCUCGCCAGGACAGGCCAAGAAGCUGGACCUGAAACAAACACUCCCGGUGAUUCUGGACCUCGCCGUGAACAAUGCUGCCUGGAGGAGUUCUAAAAGGCCGGUGUGCAGGAUUAAACAUUGUUCCUGGCAGAUGAAUAACUCCACGGUACAUCUAAGACCUCCAAAGACAGGAUUCCAGUGCCCUGGCCCGAUGUUGGCGACAACAGCCCUGGAUAACCUGGAAGAACUCUUCAUGUUCGGGAAGCUGCUGAGCAGGCCCGGGAGACCCUCUCCAAGGACCCCAAAACAAGCUUUUCUCCUGAAGUAAUUAAUUCAUCAAUAUUGGAAGUGCUACAAACAUUUUCUCCCAAUCUGUCAUUUGUGUUGUAACCCUGAUGUUUUCCAUCAUACAUAAACUUCCAAUAUUCUGGGGUGGUAACAUCUGUUUAUCUUUUCCCUUACUAGAUCUUUCAGGUUUCAUGUUAUAUUUAAAACAGAGUUUCCCACACCGGAGGUAUAAUAAUCUCCUGUAUUUCCUUCAGUAAUUUUGUAGUUUAACUUCUUUGGUUUCUUCCCUCUGGAACGAAUUUUGGUGGAAACUGUGAGCGACAGAGCUAACUCUUACUUUGAGGGCCAGCUGUCUUAAAGUCCUAUUUAUUAAACAAUCCAUCUCUUUUCCCCACUUCAAAUACUUCUUUUAUCCCACUCAGUUCCCAUCUACCUGGGGGUCUGCUUCUGGACUCUGCCUUUUGUUCCAUCAGCCGGUCUGUCCGAGCACACCCCAGGUCCCAGGGGCCACUCCUGGGCGCUUGGGAGUCCUGGGGGCAGUGGUGCAGGACACGUGCCUUUUACCCCUCGCUGCUCUCCGCCCCGACUCACCAUCAUUCAGAAUUUGUUUAAUAUUCUCACAUAUUUACUCUUUCAAGUGAACUUGAGAACUCAUCAAAUUCCCAAAGCAUCCAAUCGUGCUGGAACACACUGACUCGUGGGCUGAUUCGGAGAGAACCGGAAUCUUCGCAGGGGCAUCGUGUCUACCGUCUGAGUCCACUCACAGAAUGGCCCGAGGUCCCCAGCUGACUCACUUAGAUUUUAUAGGUCGGCCGUGCUAUCGUCUGCAAACAAUGACAGCUGUAACCCCCUCUCCUUCACCUGCUCUCCUGCGGGGGUGACAGUGCCAGGACACUGCUAACUGGUGAUACGUCCUUGGCUACUUUCCGACUUGUAUGGGAAUGCCCAUGGUGUCGGACUCUUCAAAUGUCAUUAACUGCUGCUUUGUGAUAGACGUUUUUUAUCUAGAGUAGGAUGUUUCUUUGUAAUCUUAACUUACU
Ursus americanus (American black bear) is the source of this 1590-nucleotide long non-coding RNA. The record is from Ensembl. Lineage: Eukaryota; Metazoa; Chordata; Mammalia; Carnivora; Ursidae.